Non-coding RNA from Apis mellifera (honey bee), 81 nucleotides. Lineage: Eukaryota; Metazoa; Arthropoda; Insecta; Hymenoptera; Apidae. The record is from RefSeq and is marked provisional.
GUCCUCGUCGUCGCUUCUGCAAGGCGUCGCCUCCGGGGGUGGAUGGUGCGUAGGCGUCACGUUGUGGAACGGCGACCAGGA